GCCCAGGCGCGAAAACUUUGCAAUACACGAAAGUGUGACAGGGCUAUCCCGAGUGCCAUCCGCUGAGGAAGGCUUUUACCCAGUCUAGAACGCUGGGGGAAUAAGGAGAGGGCAAGUCUGGUGUCAGCCGCCGCGGUAAUACCAGCUCUCCGAGUGGUGUGGAUGUUUAUUGGGCCUAAAGCAUCCGUAGCUGGCUAAGUUAGUCCCUUGUUAAAUCCACCGAAUUAAUCGUUGGGUUGCGGGGGAUACUGCUUGGCUAGGGGACGAGAGAGGCAGACGGUAUUUCCGGGGUAGGGGUGAAAUCCUAUAAUCCCGGGAAGACCACCAGUGGCGAAGGCUGUCUGCUAGAACGCGCCCGACGGUGAGGGAUGAAAGCUGGGGGAGCGAACCGGAUUAGAUACCCGGGUAGUCCCAGCUGUAAACGAUGCAGGCUAGGUGUUUGGACGGCCACGUGCCGUUCUAGUGCCGCAGGGAAGCUGUUAAGCCUGCCGCCUGGGGAGUACGAUCGCAAGAUUGAAACUUAAAGGAAUUGGCGGGGGAGCAC
Molecule: ribosomal RNA, 544 nt
Filed under: uncultured archaeon
Lineage: Archaea
Description: bacterial SSU rRNA
Rfam family: Archaeal small subunit ribosomal RNA
Source: RNAcentral